Molecule: ribosomal RNA, 1509 nt
Filed under: uncultured prokaryote
Description: partial 16S ribosomal RNA
Rfam family: Bacterial small subunit ribosomal RNA
Source: RNAcentral
AGAGUUUGAUCAUGGCUCAGAUUGAACGCUGGCGGCAUGCUUAAUACAUGCAAGUCGAACGGUAACAGGUUCUUCGGAAUGCUGACGAGUGGCGGACGGGUGAGUAACGCGUAGGAAUCUACCCAGUAGUGGGGGACAACUUGGGGAAACUCAAGCUAAUACCGCAUACGCCCUACGGGGGAAAGCGGGGGACCUUCGGGCCUCGUGCUAUUGGAUGAGCCUGCGUUAGAUUAGCUAGUUGGUAGGGUAAAGGCCUACCAAGGCGACGAUCUAUAGCUGGUCUGAGAGGAUGAUCAGCCACACUGGAACUGAGACACGGCCCAGACUCCUACGGGAGGCAGCAGUAGGGAGUAUUGGACAAUGGGCGCAAGCCUGAUCCAGCAAUGCCGCGUGUGUGAAGAAGGCCUGCGGGUUGUAAAGCACUUUCAAUUGGGAAGAAAGAUUUAGAGUUAAUACCUCUUAAUAUUGACGUUACCAAUAGAAGAAGCACCGGCUAACUCUGUGCCAGCAGCCGCGGUAAUACAGAGGGUGCAAGCGUUGUUCGGAAUCACUGGGCGUAAAGGGCGCGUAGGCGGCCAAGCAAGUCAGAUGUGAAAGCCCACGGCUCAACCGUGGAAGUGCAUUUGAAACUGCUUGGCUUGAGUAUCAGAGGGGAAAGUGGAAUUCCCGGUGUAGAGGUGAAAUUCGUAGAUAUCGGGAGGAAUACCGGUGGCGAAGGCGACUUUCUGGCUGAAUACUGACGCUGAGGCGCGAAAGCGUGGGGAGCAAACAGGAUUAGAUACCCUGGUAGUCCACGCCGUAAACGAUGUCAACUAGGUGCAGGGGGUGUUGAUCCCCUCUGUGUCGCAGCUAACGCAUUAAGUUGACCGCCUGGGGAGUACGGUCGCAAGAUUAAAAAUCAAAGGAAUUGACGGGGGCCCGCACAAGCGGUGGAGUAUGUGGUUUAAUUAGCUAGAUGCAACCGAAGAACCUUACCUGGUCUUGACAUCCCGAAAAAGCCCUAGAAAUAGGGAAGUGCUCUCUUUGAGAGAAUUUGUUGACAGGUGUUGCAUGGUUGUCGUCAGCUCAUGCCUUGAGGUGUUCGGUUAAGUCCGUUAACGAGCGCAACCCUCGCCAUUAGUUGCCAGCAUUAAGUUUGGGCACUCUAGCGAGACUGCCGGUGACAAACCGGAGGAAGGUGGGGAUGACGUCAAGUCCUCAUGGCCCUUAUGUCUGGGGCUACACACGUGACUACAAUGGUCGGUACAAAGGGCAGCGACUUAGCGAUGAUGGGAGCUAAUCCCAGAAAAGAUGCCUCAGUUCGGAUUGGAGUCUGCAUCUCGACUCCAUGAAGUUGGAAUCGCUAGUAAUCGCGGAUCAGCAUGCCGCGGUGAAUACGUUCCCGGGCCUUGUACACACCGCCCGUCACACCAUGAAAGUCGGUUGUUCCAGAAGUAGUUGAGCUAACCUUCGGGAGGCAGGCUACCAAGGAAUGAUCGGUAAUUGGGGUGAAGUCGUAACAAGGUAACC